UCGAUCAGCGCAGGUAUAAGAACCAUACUCCAAGUUCUAAACGGGAGGAUCAUGAAGGAUUCUUCUGUGGUAACCUAGUGGGUCUUCCGGAAGUUCAAGAACUUCUUAAGAUUCUUUUGAAAGGCCCAGUGCCAAAGUGGUGACACUGGGGCAGUCAUACGUCAAACGCGGGUGAACCCACCUCUCCUGGAAACACACUUUUCAGGUUCUGUGGACGACGUAACUUCGGAUCCACUACAUGGGUCAGUGGAAGGCCGACCGCCUGGGUGGAUACCGAGGGACCGCUGAGAUGGGCGGUCAAUACGUUCAGCCCCUUUAAGAGUGCAGAACUGAAUGGGAUAUUCUCGUCCUUUGUGUCAAUUGGGUAUACAUAUUCCCAAAAGCUGGAGAAAGGUAACAGUUGCAUAUCUACACAAACCGGGUCGUGGCAAACAUGACCCAGCCCAUUACCUUAUCAUCUUUUCUUCUAAAAAUAGUAGAGAAGCUACUGGAUGCAUACAUAAGGAGUGAGAGCUGGUAUGUCUACGGAGGCGGCUCUUUACAGCCUCGUGUGCGGGUUGACGAGGGGAGAGGGGUCUGGGAGCGUUUAACAACACCGCAUUCGAUUACAUUUAGUGAAGCUGUUGAUUGAUGUUGGUCACCAAAGGAUGUCCGCAUGGUAGAGUGUUGUCUCCACAUGGUGUUUGAUGGGCUCCUCCGCACUGUAAAGAAAUUUGGUGCAUAUAACAAGUACACUUUUUGAGGACGCUAACUGGGUCUGACCUAGAAAGGGCACAUUGAAUGAAUAACUCAAAAGGCCACUACGUGUCUAUAGGCAUGUAUAAGGGUUUUUGCUUCAAUCCUCGUCCAACCUACAGGAAGCAGCUAAGUAAAUUACAUAGAUUGGCCUGCCUGGGAGUCACUGGAACCGUGAAAACCAUGCCAACUUUGGCCAUGAGGGCACUUAUUGAACUAGAGCCUUUACACUUAUCUGUAGAGGUGGAGCCUCGGAACAGUCAGCCCUAUUUGCUUUGUUGAAGACGCAGUUCGUCAUAUUUUAUAAUAAAUUUGUGCACAGGUAAAUUAAGUAAAGUGGUUUAUGUAGAAAAGGAAGUGUUGCAACGUGGCCGGUUACCUUUUGCCGCUAGCCUGCGUCCGCCGUGAACUUUUU
Long non-coding RNA from Photinus pyralis (common eastern firefly), 1150 nucleotides. RefSeq lists it as uncharacterized. NCBI's taxonomy places the organism in Eukaryota, Metazoa, Arthropoda, Insecta, Coleoptera, Lampyridae. The record is from RefSeq and is a predicted model, not a curated record. The transcript has 3 exons.